Molecule: ribosomal RNA, 305 nt
Filed under: uncultured bacterium
Lineage: Bacteria
Description: bacterial SSU rRNA
Rfam family: Bacterial small subunit ribosomal RNA
Source: RNAcentral
UUGCCUACGGGGCGCAGCAGUGGGGAAUAUUGCACAAUGGGGGAAACCCUGAUGCAGCAACGCCGCGUGAGUGAAGAAGUCAUUCGUGAUGUAAAGCUCUAUCAGCAGGGAAGAAAAUGACGGUACCUGAGUAAGAAGCCCCGGCUAACUACGUGCCAGCAGCCGCGGGAAUACGUAGGGGGCAAGCGUUAUCCGGAUUUACUGGGUGUAAAGGGAGCGUAGACGGCAGGGCAAGUCUGAUGUGAAAGCCCGGGGCUCAACCCCGGGACUGCAUUGGAAACUGUCAGGCUAGAGUGCAGGAGAGG